This is a long non-coding RNA of Homo sapiens (human), 3476 nucleotides long. Ensembl annotates it as long intergenic non-protein coding RNA 632. The record is from Ensembl. NCBI's taxonomy places the organism in Eukaryota, Metazoa, Chordata, Mammalia, Primates, Hominidae.
AGUGCGACAGACAGCCUCAGAGCUGGUGGGGAGACAGCAUGCCACUGGAAAAAUUCGUAGACAUGGAAUUCCUGGAUCAAAUGAUACUAAGGGGGACUUGCCUGGAAGCAGACUUGUGUCCGCAGUAUACAAACUCACCCUUUAAUGCACACACUGACCAGAUAACACAAACACAUUUACCCCCACAGCACCUAGACUCUUCUCACAGUACACACACUUGCCUUCCAGUACACAGACAUAUCCAAAGGCACACCGACAAGCACCACAGCAAAAAGAUGUUCCCCAGAACACAUGGACACCCCAAUCCCCGUAUCAUUAGACUCUCCCAGAGGCACGUAUGUACUGCUUAAUGCAGAGACUCACCUGAGGCACACUGAUGCACCCCGCAUGACACAGACUUGCCCCCCCAUAAGGACUCUACUAUGACACACAGACAAUCCCAACAUCACACACUGUUCCCACAUCACACGAACCCAUUUUAGGAAACACACAGCAUACAGACUUACCCCAUAGAACACGGCUUCCCCGACAAGCACACAUACUCUCAAGGCCAGUAGACUCACCCCACAGCACACAGACUUUCUCUAGAGUGUACAGCUUCUUCCCACAGCAAACAGACUCUCCCCAGGGCACACAGACACCCCUGACAUCACAUACUCUCACCACAGACCAUAGACUCGUCCUAGAGCACAGGGACUCUUGCCAAUGAAACAGACUUUCCCGAGAAUAGACUCAUGAGACAGCUUGAAGACCCGCAUCAUGACACAAAGACUCUCCCACAACAGACAGACUCACCCCAUUGUGUACAGACAAGCACCAUAGGCCACAGACCAUCACCUCAGGACACAGACUUGCCCAGCACCACACAGACACUCUGCAGAGCACGUAGAGUCACCCCGCAAAGCACAGACUAAACCCAUACUACAGAGACUCUCCCUAUAGCUUUCAGACAAGUUUACCCCACCACAGAGACAUGCAACGGUACAUCUUACAACAUAUAUCACUCCUUGAUGCACACAAUUGUGCCACAGCACACAAACUUGUCCUACAGUGCACAAAUUCAUGUCACAAAAGACACACUCACCACACAAUACAAAUACUUGCUCCAGCCGGACGCGGUGGCUCACGCCUGUUAUCCCAGCACUUUGGGAGGCCUAGGCAGGUGGAUCACCUGACGUUGGGAGUUCGAGACCAGUCUCACCAACAUGGAGAAACCCCGUCUCCACUAAAAAUACAAAAUUAGCCGGGCAUGGUGGUGCAUGCCUGUAAUCUCAGCUGCUCCGGAGGCUGAGGCAGGAGAAUCGCUUGAACCCAAGAGGCGGAGGUUGCAGUGAGCCAAGAUUGUGCCACUGCACUCCAGCCUGGGCAACAAGGGCAAAACUUUGCCUCAAAAAAAAUAAAAAAAUAAAAAAAAAAACAACCCAGCAACAAAAACAAACAAAAAAAAACAAUUACUUGCUCCAGAGUUCACUCAUUUGCCCUAAAAUAUCUAGACCUUACCCCAGAGUUACCACACAAUGCAUGCUGUGUCCCUGCAUCACCAAAAUACAACUCAAACUCCUCAGACACACUCUGAUAAAUAGACAUACCUGACAAUGUACAGCUUGGCAUCAUAGCAGGAAAAACUGGCUCUACAACAGAUUUAUUCUACAACAGACACACUCAGGCUGUAGAGACACCUAAUCUUUCUUUAAGGUAUUCAGACCCACCCUUUUGGGCACAGUCACAGAUGUGAUCCAGGAUACCCUCACCCAUCCCACAAUACUGAUGCAACCCACAGCGUACAAACACAUCCCACAGCAUAACACUCUAAGCCCACAGUGCUCAGAAAUGUCAGGCACACAUUUGCCAUACAGAUUUACUUCACACACAAAAAACACAGCCAGGUGGGUGGCUCAUGCCUGUAAUCCCAGCACUUUGGGAGUCCGAGGCGGGCGGAUCACAAGGUCAGGGGUUCAGGACCAGCCUGUCCAACAUGGUGAAACCCCGUCUCUACUAAAAAUACAAAAAAAUUAGCCGGGCAUGGUGGCACAUGCUUGUAGUCCCAGCUACUCGGGAGGCUGAGGCAGGAGAAUCACUUGAACCCAGGAGGUGGAGGUUGCAGUGAGCCGAGAUCAUGCCAUUGCACUCCACCUUGGGCAACAGAGUGAGACUUCGUCUAAAAAAAAAAGAAAGAAAGAAAGAAACAAACAAGAAAACAACAACAAAAAACACUUCUUAUAGUGCCUAUACAAUGCAAACAUGUAUCCCAAAAUAUAUGAAACUAUUUGCUAUGUCACUCUUAGGUUUACCCCAAAGCACAUAGACCGUUUUCACUGCUCAAGCUGCUGCCUACAAAACAGGAGAUGCCAAGCCAUGCACAGAAAUUCACCAAAAUGCACAGAUUCACCUAUCAAUAUACAUACUUGCCUCACAACUCACACAAACACCACCGAGCACUGAGACUCACCCUAAAUGUACAGACAAGCCCUUCAGGGCACAGACUUACUCUGUAACAUACUAAAUCACAUCCCCCAUACUUAGAUGUGCCUUAUGAUUCACAGUGAUGCGUGUAAACACAUAGAUUGCUUCCACAAUGCACAGAAUUGCAUCAUAACACAGACUUACUCUACAGUGCAAAACUGACAGUGCACAUAAACAUUUCCCAGUCGGCUAGACACACAACACACAUAUUACUCCUACAAUGUAAAGAUUUCCAUCACGGUGGACAGACGUGCUUUUCCAUGCUGUUGAGCUACAACUCUGGCCUACAACAACAGAAAUACAGCUUGUGUAAUAGUUACCAGCAAGGCCUCUAGACCCAUACUAACUGGGUUUGAAUCAAGGUCCCGUCCCUUGCUGAUUGUAUCACCUUGGGAGGAGAUGGAAGAUUGAGAGCAGAGUGCAAGAAUGGGAAGAGGGCUUCGUGCCCUGUGCACGUUUGCCACCUAGUGACCAAACUGAGCUGGAGUGCAAUGGCGCAAUCUCGGCUCACUGCAACCUCUGCCUUCCGGGUUCAAGCGAUUCUCCUGCCUCAGCCUCCCAAGUAGCUGGGAUUGCAUGCAUGUGCCACCACGCCCAACUAAUUUUUGUAUAUUUAGCAGAGACGGGGUUUUCCAUGUUUGUCAGGCUGGUCUCGAUCUCCCAACCUCAGAUGAUCUGCCUGCCUUGGCCUCCCAAAGUGCUGGGAUUACAGGCAUGAGUCACCACGCCCAGCCUUUAAUUUAUUAUAUUCUAUAAAUAUAAGAACUUGAGGCUACAGAUUUGAAUUAACAAUUUUAUAGGAAAUAUUCAUAAUUUAUUUGGCAAAGGCAGUAUUCAUAUAAAAAUAAUCAACAAAAUCAGAUUUACUUUCAGAAAAAGUGUCUGACUUCAUUUUUCAAGGAAAAAAUAUUAAUAUACGUUUUGAGGUGCAUUAUUAAAACCAUGGAUAAAUCAAUUAUGGAGCACCUUGUUAAAUAACUAGCAAAGUAAAUAUCAUAUUAAAAUAAAUAUGA